Molecule: transfer-messenger RNA, 319 nt
Filed under: Bacillota bacterium
Lineage: Bacteria; Bacillati; Bacillota
Description: partial transfer-messenger RNA
Rfam family: transfer-messenger RNA
About the family: Bacterial tmRNA, also known as 10Sa RNA or SsrA, is named for its dual tRNA and mRNA-like properties. Its role is to liberate the mRNA from a stalled ribosome. To accomplish this part of the tmRNA is used as a reading frame that ends in a translation stop signal.
Source: RNAcentral
UUCGCUUUAGCUGCUGCCUAGUAUAGGCGGCCCGUCAGUCCCGGGUUCCUGCACCUGGGGUAGCUGGCGCCAUCAAGUCAGGCCUUUUGCGUGGGAAGGUUAAACGCUAAAACCAUCCGGCCAAAGCUUUGAGGUUGGACGGGACUUAUGAAGCUACUGAGAUAUAAAGCCUGUUGUUGGGCGUUAUAUUGAGGGAAAUGGUUGGGGACAUUCCCUGGUUUGCAGGGUGUGCCGCCUGAUAUUAAUACAGCAACUGCACCCGGAGAAGCACUUGUGAAUACAGUUUCGGACAGGGGUUCGAUUCCCCUCGCCUCCACCA